AAGUAGCACUCUGUAGCAGAUAAAACUGUCUGACACAAUUUGAGCUUGCUAUAGAAAGAAAGUCUAACCUAUUCCGGUAUUCUCUUCUCUUCGAGACAAGGCGUUAUAUAGACUUAAAUAGU
Bison bison bison is the source of this 122-nucleotide small nucleolar RNA. NCBI's taxonomy places the organism in Eukaryota, Metazoa, Chordata, Mammalia, Artiodactyla, Bovidae. The record is from Ensembl.